ACACAUGCAAGUCGAACGGGUAACGCGGGGAGAAGCUUGCUUCUCCCCGGCGACGAGUGGCGAACGGGUGAGUAAUACAUCGGAACGUGUCCGCUCGUGGGGGACAACCAGCCGAAAGGUUGGCUAAUACCGCAUGAGUUCUACGGAAGAAAGAGGGGGACCCGCAAGGGCCUCUCGCGAGCGGAGCGGCCGAUGAUUGAUUAGCCGGUUGGUGAGGUAACGGCUCACCAAAGCAACGAUCAGUAGCUGGUCUGAGAGGACGACCAGCCACACUGGGACUGAGACACGGCCCAGACUCCUACGGGAGGCAGCAGUGGGGAAUUUUGGACAAUGGGCGCAAGCCUGAUCCAGCUAUUCCGCGUGUGGGAUGAAGGCCCUCGGGUUGUAAACCACUUUUGUAGAGAACGAAAAGACACCUUCGAAUAAAGGGUGUUGCUGACGGUACUCUAAGAAUAAGCACCGGCUAACUACGUGCCAGCAGCCGCGGUAAUACGUAGGGUGCGAGCGUUAAUCGGAAUUACUGGGCGUAAAGGGUGCGCAGGCGGUUGAGUAAGACAGAUGUGAAAUCCCCGAGCUUAACUCGGGAAUGGCAUAUGUGACUGCUCGACUAGAGUGUGUCAGAGGGAGGUGGAAUUCCACGUGUAG
RNAcentral lists this ribosomal RNA (645 nucleotides) under uncultured beta proteobacterium. Its description in RNAcentral is "bacterial SSU rRNA". It matches the Rfam family "Bacterial small subunit ribosomal RNA", at positions 51 to 678 of the family's 1533-position model. The record is from RNAcentral. Lineage: Bacteria; Pseudomonadati; Pseudomonadota; Betaproteobacteria.